RNAcentral lists this non-coding RNA (46 nucleotides) under Schistosoma curassoni. The record is from RNAcentral. Lineage: Eukaryota; Metazoa; Platyhelminthes; Trematoda; Strigeidida; Schistosomatidae.
GAAUUGCUGAGGAGUCUCAUAGUAGGACGAAACGACCGUCCAGUGU